CGUAAAGUUCCACAUUGUGUUUUCCGGUGCCUGGCACGAGCAAGGCAGGCGAAAGGGCGCCCUAAAAACAUCCGCGCCGAAGAAAGGAAGAGAAGCGCGGGGAGUUUGUUCUCUUCCGCGCCUGACAGAAAUUUCGCCUCAGCGAAAUAACGAGGAGUCUUUAUUUCGCCUGCCCGCCGGCUCUCCUCCGUGUUGUAAUAGCUAGGCUUGCAGUCCUGCGCUUACGCCCGCACCACGCUUCGCUCCCCGGUCUGUCCCCGCGAGCUGCGCUCACACGUGCGUGUUGACUGGGCUGUGGAGCGCUUUAGGCGGAGAUCUAGAGACGCCCUACUUUGGUUCCCCUCGGAGGAAGGCUUGGCGGUAUAGAAGAGGAACCCUAAGCCCGAGCGAAAACGGAAGCAGGGUUUGAUUCGAACCCAGAACCUGCCUUACCAUUUGUGCAGGGAACACGUGGACGUCUGAAACAGUGUGACGCAAUAACCCCAGAGAGUUCAGCGAGGCCCAGGGGACGAGUGUAGAAACGACGGCGCGGGGGUGGCUUGCACAACAGAGAGCGGCAGGAUCGACAGUGGGAAUUCCUCUGCUGCUUGCCAAAGACAAAAUGUGCUGCAUCGCUUUCCCGAAAGCGCUGGGAUAGGAAAGGAAGGAGGCCGUCCGUUUUCGUCACACACCGCAUCUAUUCAGGAGACGCGCCCCAAAUGUAAACAGAGGAGCCGUCAGAACAGAACACAGGCCCAUUCAGCAGACGGGAGGGGCAAGCACAGCAGGAAUGGGUUUCCACGUUUUGAAGUAAGUGAAGUAAUGUGCUUUUAAAUCCAAAAAUGCCCUUAACAUGCCCUAACGGCACCACUGAAUUCUGAAAUGCCACGCAGUUGCUCCUGUUUUUCCUGAGCAAUAUUUAUGGUGCUGGUGUCCAGAAAAGCACGUCCAUUCCCAAGCCCGAUAGUUACCAACUUCAGAGCCUGCUGGAAUUAAUAAGACCAUUUUCACAAGUAAUACAGUACCCCAUACAUGUCUAUUCAGAAGUCUGUCCCAUUGACUUCAGUGGUAAGUGGGCACAGGAAUGUAGCCAAAAUUGCUUGCUCCUGUUUUAUUUAUUGAGCCUUAUAGCCUAUUCAAGGUUUGAAGGGGUAACAGCCUACUACAGAAAUCUGAUAAAUUAUUUCUGUUCAUCUGCAUUUGGAAAUAAGAUCACACAUACACAGAGAGAGAGGGUUUGCUUUGCUGAAUGUGUUCAUAGGAUUGCUGCCUCACUGUCGCUAUUAGAUGAAGUAUUUAAUAAUCAUGCCAGUUCAUCUUCCCAUGGUCAUUCUUAGGUAGCCAAAAUGGAAGGGAGGGGGUUUAACCCUGAGGUAUGCAUAAGUACAAAAACAAUCUGCAGCCCCAUGAUAACCAACCAACACAGAAUAUUGAGUGGUUGAGAGGUCAAUUCCUGGUUCACAUUGUGAUGCUAUUUUUCACUGACACCCCUCCCCCGAAGGCAAUACUCAGAAAAAUGAGUGGGGAAAUCCUAAAUGGUAACGUAGCUGGUAUUAGACAUCAAUGUGUUUAUCCCUGUCACCAAGAAAACUAGAGAGAUGUUUAACUCUGCUCUAACACAGUUAUUAGUGUGAAACAUUUAAAAAAGAACCCUGGUAAUGCAAAUUCCUAAGGAAAUGCAGUUCAUUGUUCUCAAAUUGCAGGUUAGAAGGGGCUGUAGUGGAGAGAAGUUAAGGUAGUCCUGCAGUGUUUUCCAAACACGUUGGACAUGCAAGUUGGGCUAAAACAGUAACUUACACUUCUGCCAGGUUAUCCAUUGCUUUUAUCCCCAUAUUAAAAGUUAGAGAAUUGUAUUAAACAAUUCUGCUGUGUAGUUCACAGUUAUACCCCUGCGGUAGGUAGGAGAGCUCUUCUGAGAGCAGGGAUUCCUGUCUUUGAGCUAGCUUUUUUUUUAACAACAACAACAACUUUUCCCAUCCACAUCAGCCAUAGCCUCAGAUAACACACACACACAUGCAUGGGAUACACUGCAACAUUUUGUUACAGAGCUUCACUUGUUCCCUUGGCUUCUGAAGUUCCUUCAUGGAAAUGCUUGCUAUAUACAAUCUUCAUAAUAUGGAAUGAAGCUCUGACUACAACUGAUCAGUUUUACUACUUGGGUCCAUCCAAUAUGCAUUUGUGAAGAAGCAGAAAAGAGACGUCUCUUUUAGCACUAGCGUGUGUCUUGACAUUUUUAGCAAGAACAACCAGAAGACAGAGCAGCCUGGAUCUCUGCCCAUCUAGUUCUCAAUGUUCAGCUGAAGUGGCCUUUUCCUCCCCCAGGCCCCGCCAGAGUGCUUCUCAGGAACCAUCUUGCUAUGGGAGGAGAGAAUCUGGUUUUUUUCUUUACUUUCUUGUCUUUGCUGCUUUAUUAUAGUUUUGAUAUUUCUAUGUAAACCACUUUGUGAGAUUUGCCGGAAAUAAAAAGCUCAGAACCGUU
Long non-coding RNA from Podarcis raffonei (Aeolian wall lizard), 2458 nucleotides. RefSeq lists it as uncharacterized. The record is from RefSeq and is a predicted model, not a curated record. The transcript has 2 exons. NCBI's taxonomy places the organism in Eukaryota, Metazoa, Chordata, Lepidosauria, Squamata, Lacertidae.